This 225-nucleotide long non-coding RNA is filed under the name Elaeis guineensis (African oil palm). RNAcentral's name for it is "long non-coding RNA (EGUI_LNC003657)". Lineage: Eukaryota; Viridiplantae; Streptophyta; Magnoliopsida; Arecales; Arecaceae. The record is from RNAcentral.
UGUCAGACUUCUGAAAAUACACACUGCCCAUAAUCCAGCUGACAUGUUCACUAAACCAAUCCCUGCAAUUAAGUUCAGGAAUUUUCUGAACUUGAUUGGAAUAAAUAUUUGGUAAUGCCCUGCGGGGCUUGUGGUGAGGAGGAGGUUAUAAAUUUUUCAUCUGAUAUAUAAAAGGUACAAUAUUUGUCGCAAGGAGGAGGAUUGUUAUAUUUGGCUCCAAAUCAU